Molecule: non-coding RNA, 111 nt
Organism: Acanthosepion pharaonis
Lineage: Eukaryota; Metazoa; Mollusca; Cephalopoda; Sepiida; Sepiidae
Source: the annotation of a GenBank genome assembly
ACAGCCAUAUCACAUUAAAACUUUAGUUCCCAUAUGAUCAUCAAAGUUAAGCAUGUUGAGCCUGGUCAGUACCUAGAUGGGUGACAGCUUAGGAAUACCAGGUGCUGUAAG